This 253-nucleotide ribosomal RNA is filed under the name uncultured bacterium. RNAcentral describes it as "partial 16S ribosomal RNA". It matches the Rfam family "Bacterial small subunit ribosomal RNA", at positions 524 to 776 of the family's 1533-position model. The record is from RNAcentral.
UACGGGGGGGGCAAGCGUUGUUCGGAAUUACUGGGCGUAAAGGGCUCGUAGGUGGCCAACUAAGUCAGACGUGAAAUCCCCAGGCUUAACCUGGGAACUGCGUCUGAUACUGGUGGGCUUGAAUCCGGGAGAGGGAUGCGGAAUUCCAGGUGUAGCGGUGAAAUGCGUAGAUAUCAGGAAGAACACCCGUGGCGAAGGCGGUUCUCUGGGACGGUACUGACGCUGAGACGCGAAAGCGUGGGGAGCGAACAGG